UACGUAGGCAGCAAGCGUUGUUCGGAGUUACUGGGCGUAAAGAGUGCGUAGGUGGUGCCCUAAGUCUGUUGUGAAAUCUCCCGGCUUAACUGGGAGGGUGCGGUGGAAACUGGGGUGCUUGAGUGUGGGAGAGGUAAGCGGAAUUCCUGGUGUAGCGGUGAAAUGCGUAGAUAUCAGGAGGAACACCGGUGGUGUAGACGGCUUACUGGACCACGACUGACACUGAGGCACGAAAGCGUGGGUAG
This 245-nucleotide ribosomal RNA is filed under the name uncultured bacterium. RNAcentral describes it as "partial 16S ribosomal RNA". It matches the Rfam family "Bacterial small subunit ribosomal RNA", at positions 524 to 768 of the family's 1533-position model. The record is from RNAcentral.